CCACCCCUUCCCAGACCUCAUUUAAGGGUUGGCAGUGGAGGUAAAGGUAUCUUACUGGGGAUUUCUGUGUACGUGGGGCUUUUCAAGUGUGCUAUGUGAUGGAAAGAAAGAACCCGGGCCUUUAUGCACAGUGCUUGUCAGGGGAAACAACAACCAACUGAAACAAAGGAAAUCUCAAUUCAGUAAGCUUUGCUGAGAACCUCUUGGAAGACCAUAUCAACUCAAUUUUCUUUGCCCACCUGCUUCCUGAUUCUGUCAUUGAGCUUACAAACUGAUGAGGUGCAACUUCCCUUGACCAAAGCUGAUUCCUCUUCUGAUAACAUUGAAAGUCUGCAUCAGAAUUGAAGUUGAGUUUGUGCCAAUAACUGUGCAGAUUCAUGGCAGCCUCCAUACUGUGGUGCUGCCUGUGCAUUGACGCAUGCAACUUCUUGGUGUCCCUGUGGGUACUGAAGAGAUCAAGCUGUUUUUCAUUCAUCCCCCUUCUUUCGUGUGUCUGACUCAACGCUUUAAGACUGGUGACAACAGAAGACUCCCUGUGGUGUGCCAGCCCUAAUCUCCCAUUGUACAGGAGGGCAGAGGUGAUGAUGACUAACAAUUCCCUGGUGUGAUACAUAAGGUGGGAGGUUACAGUGCAAGCUCAACCACAACCUGUUUGUGACUGAGGUGAGGAGAUAUGUCAUGCAACUGUACUUCCUAAAAUCAAACAAACUAUUCUUUCAUUUUUGAAGCUGAACAGACGAGAUGUGUAAAGAUCUCCACAUUCAAGAGAGCCAUCUUUGAGAGCAUUUAAAGAGCCACCCUAUAUCUUGUUUAAUAAAAUAAUUUUCAGUAAAUAUAUUUUAGGUAGUUAAAUCAGUUAGUGGAAGCAUCACAAGGAAAUAGGGUACCAAUUUCCUAUAAGCCUAAAUUUUUGGCUGUGAUUCUUUAACUGUAAAAAAAAAAAGUUGCUAUAUAAUUCUCCCUUUGGCAAGGUGUAUGCAUCACAGUGAUAUAUAAACAGCAUAUAUAUAAACAGCAUGCGAAGUGGCUGUGCUUCAUUGGAUGGAACCCAUAAUUCACUAAGUGCUCAGAUCUGAACUCUCCUUCAGAAUGCAGAGUGUGUGCCACUGCUGCUCAAGUCGAGAGACAAAGAGCAUUUAGUACUCCUGUGCUUGUGUGUUGCUGUUCUGGCUGGAGUCUUACAAGGGAAAAAAAUCCAGCAGUAAUACAUGAUAUUUUGUGUAAGUGGACAUGGAAUACAUGAAGUAUUUUCAACCUACUUGCUGUAAACUACUUACACUGCACAGCAGAUGCUCUGUCCUCCCAAAAACUGUGAACAAGUUAUUGUGGUUAAUGAUUAUAGUUAAAUGUUUGUUUCUGCUAACCUCUUCAAUGUGACAGGCUCUUACUGUCUCUCUCUCUAUAUGUAUAUAUAUUUUCUCUAUACCUCACAUAUAUAUUUUCUAUCUCUCUCUCUAUAUAUAAUUUUCUCUGUAUAUACAUAUAGAGAGAGACAGUAAGAGCCUGUCACAUUGAAGAGGUUAGCAGAAAAAAGAUUAAUUUCCCAUUCAAAAGUCAUUUUAAUUUUUCAAGUUGUUCAUGAUAGGUCUAACAUUGCCUCAGGCUGGAUGUGGUUAACAGUGGAUAGAACUUCGUCAGGUGCCUGAACAAUGAGUUUCUACUAAAGUAAUAUUUUUAACCUUAUGCACCAUUUGAAAAAUGAUAUUCUGAUUACUUCAGCCUAGAGAGAUCACAUCAUCAAAUGAGCUUGCUGAAAAACAAAAUAGGCAUCAGAAAACCCAUAGUACAGUGUUUUCUAUACUGUAUAAAUUUAAAACAUUGUUUAAUACAUUGGAGAACUACACAAUAGUACCACUAAUAUUUUUUAGUUUAAAAUGGUGCCUAGUCAAAGCUUUAUAUUUUCACAAAGAAGGUUUCCUAUUACUUCAAAAACAGAAUUCUCCAGUACCCAGAUUCAUUUAAAAACUCUCUGUGCUAGUGAAGUAAUUACUUCUGGAAAUUACAAAAAUCUUUUUAGCAUAGUUAGAAUGCCCCUUAAUUAGUGUGUUUCUAUGCUUACAAGAGUUAUCAUACAACUUUAACAGGUUUUGUAGAAGAGGUUUUUUUUUUGGCAGGACUUUUUAGAAAGAAUCUGAAAUGUCAUCAUGAGAAACACUGAUUUUUUUCUUAUUUCUGUUUUGUCUUUGCUAUAAAACAGUAAUGUGUGCUUCAUCGAUUGUGUAAUUUCUCAUAUUCUUUCAAAAUUUAAAGCUUAAUCUCAUUGCACACCCACUUCUUUUUUUUUUUGCUUUAAAGUUUUGUGUGGACUGCACCAUGUGUUUUUUUGUGUUACUUCUAUGCUGUGUUCCUCAGCUAACUGACCAAGUAGAUUGAACUGCAUUCCUGGUAAUAUGACAUGAUCUGUUUUAAGGUAAAGUGACAAGAAAAAUCUGUUUAUGUUGUAUGAUGUUUCCUGUUUUGUAUGAUGAUGAUUAACUAAAGUUUAUUCACUUUCUGGUUGGGUCAGUUUGAAAGAUUUGAAAAUAAUUUUAACUGGAUGAAGGGACAGGUUACUGUCUCUUCUAGAGUAUAUCAUGCUAUCAAUCUGUAUUUCAUUUUAUGGGCGUCAGUAGUGAUUGGUUUGGUGAGACUAUAACUGAAGGUCCAUAUGUGAUUCACUGGCCAUCGUUCAGGGACGUGUCCCACUCUUUGCUGGUAAAUUACAGAUAUCUGCAUUGUAUCCUCUAUUUCCUGUGAAUUAAUGGAUUUUGCUACAAGGGACUGUGUAAAUAUGUGCACAGAUAAAAUUUACCUUUUGUAAAUUAUCAACCUUAGAUUAAAUUGGCCUUAGUUGAGGAUCUUAUUUUUCUCACAUAGAGAGGAUUUACUAUAGGCACUUCACUCUUGUAGCUCAGAAACUUGUUGCUUUUAAUUAGAACAUUUGAAUACAUUUUGUCUUCACAUUUAAAGAAAACUGCCAACUUUAUUUAAAUGCUAUUCAAUAUUAAUGUGUACAGGUUUUUAACCUCUGUUAUAUUAAAUAUUUUUCUGAAAGAGUUUCCAGAGCACUUUCUGAAGAUGGCAAAAGUUUAACUAGACUUUCUUGAAGUCAAAAGCAAUGCUUUCAAUGGACAUAAAUGGAGUCAGAUUGACAAAGGUAUUCAGUUCCCACCAGCGAGCAAAGGUCCCUUCAGGGAGUAUGGGCUGAUGCAUUUCACCAAUUUUAUGGCUGUGUAACUUCAUUGAUUUCCAAAACACUGUCAUCACUAGAUGUGCUGUCAUCACCUCUACUUGCUAAGCACCAACUGCCACAACUGGCUCCAAUUCUGUGCAUUGUACCCUAGGUGUACAGUCACAUUUCAUAAGUCACAAAUUAAAAAUAUCUUAAAGGACAUACUAAUUAAGUAAAAUUGCAAAUUUUUAUCUUAGAGAUUUGUAACUACAUUUAACUCAAGAUAGAAUAGCCUUGCCUAUUGAAAAUAUUUCGUUCUAGAAAAUAGCUAUUUAUUGUUUCAUUGCCCAUUUAAUUUUCUAAAUCAUGUAUUUAAUCAAUAUGCACUGUAAUAGAGGUAGCAAUUUGUUUUCCUAGAAAGAUUUGUUUUCACUGAUGGCAUAAUGCAAUGAAUGAUGAAAACAUCCUAAAUGUGUCUUGAAAUGAAUGGUAGUAUGUCUCAGAAAAUCCUGCUUGAGGAAUUCAAAUUGGCUUCAGCAGGAGAGUAGCGUUGUAUGGGAUGCAGUCUAUGUGUAAUGCAUUCUAUAAGAAGGUAUUGGAAUGCAGGCAAGAGUGUUAACUAAGGAUGAAUUCCUUCUGUAGAUGUGUGCUGGAAUAAAUUUUAACUUCAGUCUUUCA
Numida meleagris (helmeted guineafowl) is the source of this 3829-nucleotide long non-coding RNA. RefSeq lists it as uncharacterized. The transcript has 4 exons. NCBI's taxonomy places the organism in Eukaryota, Metazoa, Chordata, Aves, Galliformes, Numididae. The record is from RefSeq and is a predicted model, not a curated record.